Molecule: non-coding RNA, 218 nt
Organism: Pelobates cultripes (western spadefoot toad)
Lineage: Eukaryota; Metazoa; Chordata; Amphibia; Anura; Pelobatidae
Source: the annotation of a GenBank genome assembly
CUAAACUGAUCAUAUCUCUUGAAGUUAUCUGAUUCUUAUAACUUUCUGUGUUACACUGCAUUGCUUGUCUGUCUCUUAAUUUUGAUUUAACUAAAAUUGCUUUUAUUUGUCUGACUAUCAGUUUGCAAGGAAAGGCCUUUAUUGAUUUAUCUCCACAUGUAUUUUCUCUAUCAAAAUUUUCAAUCAACAUAUUUAAUUUUUCAUUUGCUUUUGAUUUG